GCGCCAGCCCCGCCUGCCCUUCCUCGCCACCGGGCUGCUCUGGUCUCGUCGGUCCCCUCCUCCGCCCCGUCGUCCUGACUCUCUCUCCCUCCUUUCCUCAGAGGAUGUCCGGCUUCCAGAUCAACCUCAACCCGCUCAAGGAGCCACUCGGCUUCAUCAAGGUCCUCGAGUGGAUUUCAGUUAUCACUUUGAUAAACUAAACCUUGGACAGAAAGAAAUUUAAAUAGAUGAUUUCAGAUUAAUGAUGAAAUUAAAUAGCAAUGAAGAUCCUGCAACUAGAAACGUGUAAACAACACUCAUAAACCAGAUUGCUUCUAUCUUUGCUUUUGCCACCUGUGGAGGUUUUAAGGGCCAAACAGAAAUUCAAGUGAAUUGUCCUCCUGCAGUUACUGAGAAUAAAACUGUUACAGCUACUUUUGGUUAUCCAUUCAGGUUGAAUGAGGCAUCAUUUCAGCCACCUCCAGGUGUAAACAUAUGUGAUGUAAAUUGGAAAGAUUACGUCCUCAUAGGCGAUUACUCUUCUUCUGCACAAUUCUAUGUUACCUUUGCAGUCUUUGUGUUCCUGUACUGCAUUGCUGCCCUUCUGCUUUAUGUUGGCUACACGAGUCUGUAUCUGGAUAGUCGUAAACUUCCUAUGAUAGACUUUGUUGUUACACUUGUUGCCACUUUUUUGUGGUUGGUGAGCACUUCAGCCUGGGCUAAAGCUCUGACAGAUAUUAAAAUAGCUACUGGUCACAAUAUUAUUGAUGAACUUCCGCCUUGUAAGAAGAAAGCAGUACUGUGUUACUUUGGCUCUGUGACCAGUAUGGGAUCCCUAAAUGUAUCUGUGAUAUUUGGCUUUCUAAAUAUGAUACUCUGGGGAGGAAAUGCUUGGUUUGUGUACAAGGAGACCAGCCUACACAGUCCAUCAAAUACAUCUGCCCCUCAUAGCCAAGGAGGUAUUCCACCUCCUACCGGAAUAUAAUUAAAGGGAGAAAUACACUGUAUGAAGUAUAUGUUGAUACUAUGACAUGUUGCCAACACCUUGAGAAGCAUUAUUUGUUUCUAAUAAAAGUAAUGGCUUUGUCAAUAUAUUGGUGGGUUUAAAACUUUGCUGCUUUUUUACAUAAAGCCUGUGCCUUUCCUAGAAAGUUAAGAUGUAAAUGUAUUCUCACAUGUAAAUUUGAAAGUUCAGGGGUCUAUUAUGAAAUGAUACACAUUUUUAAAUGAACCAUAAUUUUUUUCACUAAGCUGUUUGCCUUCCAAAGUGUUUACACCUUAAGCCUUAACAUGUAUCUUCAUUCAGAAAACAGUUAUAUUGUCAUACCAUAGUAGGAAGAAAAACCUUUAUUUGGAAUAUACACUACUGUAAGUUUGUACAGAUCAUAUACCUACCACCUGUCUUUGCUUAAAGAGCCUUGAUUACAUAAAUAUGUAGGAAAAAACAUAUUGAGUUCAAAAUUUAUAUCUAACAUUGUUUAUGUUAUGAUUUUUUUUUAAUUGCAAAGACUAGGUGUAUAUUUUUUUCUGUUUUUCUAAAUGACCCGUGGUACUUAAUAGGUGUACUAAAAUUGUGUUGGGAGCAGGGAUUUGGAAAUUUCUGAGAGAUGUGUAGUUAAUUUAGUAAUUCUGUUUCAUGAGAUAUGAUCUGUUAUGCUAGUGGUUUAAUAGGCUUGCUAUGUAAGUAGAACGUGGCUCAACUAGAUAUCUUUAUAUGUAUGGGCAUUACUCUUAGUGAUAUUUGUUUCCUGUCCUUUGUUGCUCAUGCUGUUUAAGUGCAGGCUGAGACCCAGCCUCUUUGUAAGUACAGUAAAAUAAUCCACCGUUUUUUACAGACCCUAGUCAAAGGGUUAAAAAAAUUAAGAUUGCUUUCCAUGUUUGAAAUUUACCAUUGAGAGUCAAUGAAGUUGCUAUUUUGAGUUUAGCAUUGAUAUUGUGAAAAUAAGUGCAAUUUGGAUUUCAUGUUUCUUAAUAUUCAUUCUUGUUUCACAAAUGAAUGAUUAAGGAAUUAUGCAUCAUAAAGGAACCUAAGUGAGGUAUAUGAUGAGUGUAUUGUCUUUGCACACACAUAUAGGUAUAUUCUGAAUACAAGCUUAUUCACAUUUUGCUUCCUAAUCUUUUUGUUGUACAGGGAUUCAGGUUUCUUAUUCUUACAACAUGAUUGUUUAUAUGUGAAGCACAUCUUGCUGUUGCCUUAUUUUUGAUGCUUUUAUUCAUGACAAGAAUUGUCAAUAUAAGAAUGUAUAUCUUUUUUGCAACCAAUUUAAUAAAGGAGUUGAAAGAAA
This is an RNA transcript of Homo sapiens (human), 2264 nucleotides long. It is a transcript of the gene named synaptophysin like 1, with no coding region annotated. The record is from RefSeq and is marked validated. Lineage: Eukaryota; Metazoa; Chordata; Mammalia; Primates; Hominidae. The transcript is spliced from 6 exons.